UCUAUAAAUAAUACAACAUAUUUAUAUAAAUCAGAGAGGCUAGAUCUAAAAUAGAAGUGUACAUGAAUCCAUAGCAGAAUAAAUUUACACAUCCUGCGGUAGAUCUUCCAAAUCAACAUGGGUUCUUUGAAGUUUUCACAUUCUCUCUUUUUUGGUAAUGGAGUGAUAGAAUGAAAAAAAUUCUAAAUCUAAUUUGGGAGCAUAAUUGCCUAUUUAUAUCUUUAUAUU
RNAcentral lists this long non-coding RNA (228 nucleotides) under Carica papaya (papaya). RNAcentral describes it as "long non-coding RNA (CPAP_LNC000450)". The record is from RNAcentral. Lineage: Eukaryota; Viridiplantae; Streptophyta; Magnoliopsida; Brassicales; Caricaceae.